AACCCAGAAGGGAACAUUUCCCAGCCUGCUUUGCAAGCCAGGGGCGACAUGACUGAGAUCCAGCCAAUCAGACACGAGCAGAAGUGAGGCGUGCAGCUCCCUGUCACAUCUCAACAGCCUCAGGAAGCAGCGGGAUGGAGACCGCGAAUGUCCGCUCUGCAGGUGAACACCGCCUGCAUACUCGUGUCCAAGGCUGGUGGAGAGGCCUGUGGAAGCCAGUUGGUACAAUCCGCGUGUGAGCUUCGUGAGUAAGCGGUCACGCAGAAGAGACACUCUGCGUUCAGAUGCACACAGGAAACCUUAACAUCAAAUGUAGUUCAAAAGAACCAUAAAUUAUUAUUAUUCACCAUGGUCCAUAAUAAAUUAUGAUAGUAGUUAACUAAUGUGAAUAAAG
RNAcentral lists this long non-coding RNA (394 nucleotides) under Chinchilla lanigera (long-tailed chinchilla). RNAcentral describes it as "lncRNA (ENSCLAG00000028963.1)". Lineage: Eukaryota; Metazoa; Chordata; Mammalia; Rodentia; Chinchillidae. The record is from RNAcentral.